RNAcentral lists this ribosomal RNA (497 nucleotides) under uncultured bacterium. RNAcentral's name for it is "partial 16S ribosomal RNA". It matches the Rfam family "Bacterial small subunit ribosomal RNA", at positions 28 to 507 of the family's 1533-position model. The record is from RNAcentral.
GAUGAACGCUGGCGGCGUGCCUAAUACAUGCAAGUCGAGCGAACAGACGAGGAGCUUGCUCCUCUGACGUUAGCGGCGGACGGGUGAGUAACACGUGGAUAACCUACCUAUAAGACUGGGAUAACUUCGGGAGACCGGAGCUAAUACCGGAUAAUAUAUUGAACCGCAUGGUUCAAUAGUGAAAGACGGUUUUGCUGUCACUUAUAGAUGGAUCCGCGCCGCAUUAGCUAGUUGGUAAGGUAACGGCUUACCAAGGCAACGAUGCGUAGCCGACCUGAGAGGGUGAUCAGCCACACUGGAACUGAGACACGGUCCAGACUCCUACGGGAGGCAGCAGUAGGGAAUCUUCCGCAAUGGGCGAAAGCCUGACGGAGCAACGCCGCGUGAGUGAUGAAGGUCUUCGGAUCGUAAAACUCUGUUAUUAGGGAAGAACAAAUGUGUAAGUAACUAUGCACGUCUUGACGGUACCUAAUCAGAAAGCCACGGCUAACUACGUG